RNAcentral lists this long non-coding RNA (735 nucleotides) under Citrus x clementina. Its description in RNAcentral is "Citrus clementina (C. clementina) long non-coding RNA (CCLE_LNC003857)". The record is from RNAcentral. Lineage: Eukaryota; Viridiplantae; Streptophyta; Magnoliopsida; Sapindales; Rutaceae.
UCACAGCAUUCCAGAGCAUAAUAUUGUUGUCUUGGGGAGCCCCACUGAUGCCUGCAGGCGGGUCUUGCUGCAACCUUUUAAAAUCUCUCAUCAGCCUCUUCCUUGCAGGUGUCGACAUCGUCACCACCCACAAACUUCAGAAAUUCAAUCAAAAGAAAAAUCCAAGUCGUCGUCCUACAUUAUUCUUUCACGUUAACCAAACAUAUCAUCUUGGAUUCAAUUCAUGCAUAUCUCUUUGGAUCAUAAAGACAUAAACACCAAACACACUAAAGACAAAAACCGGUUAAGUAUCAAAGAUCAUAUCAUUCAGCACAAUUAAACAAAGGUUAGAAAGUUACUAUUUACAACAAUUUUCUUUAUUUUUCCAAUUCUCAAUCUACUUUUAGCUACUCAAACCAUAAUUUGUUUUUUUUUUCCUUCAUUUAUGCAUAAAUUGCAGAAUCACUAAAUGGGUGCAAGAAAUUCUCAGUCCACAUCUGAAUUAGAGAUCCCACGCAUCAAACAGUCCAUAAAAGUAGAUUUUUGAUUGCCUCAACAAGGAAAAAUUAGAUCUUUCCUUUGCCGUAACCGAUCUAAUAUAACCAGAACAAGAAAAUAAACAAACAAACUCCACAAAACUAACAACAGAAACUAAAACAAAGAACCUAACCUGAAAGGAGACGGUACGAGAAACUGGUAAACAAGAGGGAAAGCUAAGCGGCUUCAAGUUUCAGCGUUGGAAUUGAUUGAAUUUAU